CCUACGGGGGGCUGCAGUGGGGAAUAUUGGACAAUGGGGGGAACCCUGAUCCAGCCAUGCCGCGUGUGUGAAGAAGGCCCUCGGGUUGUAAAGCACUUCAGUGAGGAAGAACGCCUGGUGGUUAAUACCCAUCAGGAAAGACAUCACUCACAGAAGAAGCACCGGCUAACUCCGUGCCAGCAGCCGCGGUAAUACGGAGGGUGCGAGCGUUAAUCGGAAUUACUGGGCGUAAAGCGCGCGUAGGUGGCUUGAUAAGCCGGUUGUGAAAGCCCCGGGCUCAACCUGGGAACGGCAUCCGGAACUGUCAAGCUAGAGUGCAGGAGAGGAAGGUAGAAUUCCCGGUGUAGCGGUGAAAUGCGUAGAGAUCGGGAGGAAUACCAGUGGCGAAGGCGGCCUUCUGGACUGACACUGACACUGAGGUGCGAAAGCGUGGGUAGCAAACAGGAUUAGAUACCCUGGUAGUC
Molecule: ribosomal RNA, 464 nt
Filed under: Vreelandella stevensii
Lineage: Bacteria; Pseudomonadati; Pseudomonadota; Gammaproteobacteria; Oceanospirillales; Halomonadaceae
Description: partial 16S ribosomal RNA
Rfam family: Bacterial small subunit ribosomal RNA
Source: RNAcentral